This 477-nucleotide unclassified non-coding RNA is filed under the name Hevea brasiliensis (rubber tree). Lineage: Eukaryota; Viridiplantae; Streptophyta; Magnoliopsida; Malpighiales; Euphorbiaceae. The record is from RNAcentral.
AUUUCUAAUAAUUUAUACUAAGACCUAAUAGCAAUUAGCAAUAAGAAAAUAAAGUAAUAAAUCAUUUUUAAUUCAAUAAUAAAACUAAAAGCUAAUAAGAGUAAUAGGCAUAAUAGCAUCUCCAAGUCUCAACAUAUAUUCACAUAUUCAUAAUAAAAAAAAUCUAAAUUUAUGAUUUUGGUAUUUUAAAAAGCAGAGGUUAAGGAGAGAGCAUAGCAAAGAAAGGGAGAAAAAAUGAUAGCUGCUGGCCUUGGAUAAAACACAGCUAGAGAGAGAGAGAGAGAGGGAGGGGGCGCAUAAGAGAGCAUGACAGCUCAAAAAAAAAAAGAAACUGCAGCGCUAUGGACGAAAUAGAGAAAGAGAAUGGAGGAGAGAGAGUGAAGAAGAAAAAGAAAGAAGAAGAACAGAACAAAUAAAACAUACUAGGUUUGAUCUCUCCUUUCCCUUCUCUUCUUCUUCUUCUUUUUUAUCUUUUCG